RNAcentral lists this ribosomal RNA (240 nucleotides) under Triticum aestivum (bread wheat). RNAcentral describes it as "partial small subunit ribosomal RNA". The record is from RNAcentral. Lineage: Eukaryota; Viridiplantae; Streptophyta; Magnoliopsida; Poales; Poaceae.
CAGUCCUUCACUUGCGGAUCGUUCGCGAGUCGAACUCGCUCUCUUGCCACGCCUUUGACUCACGAACUCGAGUCGGACUCAUUCACUGCUGACUUCUUUGAGGAUCUUUCAUUCUUCACUCUCUUGCUAUUACCCACAGGGAGCGUGACCUUCGAACCGCUCUUGCCCUACCCUUUCACUUUCUUUCCUAAAUGUGUGACUGAUACCAAUCCCUAUGUUGUACACUCUUCCACUAAUUAG